RNAcentral lists this ribosomal RNA (377 nucleotides) under uncultured eukaryote. RNAcentral describes it as "partial 18S ribosomal RNA". It matches the Rfam family "Eukaryotic small subunit ribosomal RNA", at positions 592 to 976 of the family's 1831-position model. The record is from RNAcentral.
CAAUAGCGUAUAUCUAAGUUGCUGCAGUUAAAAAGCUCGUAGUUGGAUUUCGGGUGGGAAUGGCCGGUCCGCCGUUUCGGUGUGCACUUGCUACGCCCACCUUGCUGCCGGGGACGUGCUCUUGAGUUCACGCUCGGGACACGGAGUCGGCGAGGUUACUUUGAGUAAAUUAGAGUGUUCAAAGCAGGCCUACGCUCUGAAUACAUUAGCAUGGAAUAACACGAUAGGACUCUGGCCUAUCUUGUUGGUCUGUAGGACCGGAGUAAUGAUUAAGAGGGACAGUCGGGGGCAUUCGUAUUUCAUUGUCAGAGGUGAAAUUCUUGGAUUUAUGAAAGACGAACUACUGCGAAAGCAUUUGCCAAGGACGUUUUCAUUAA